This 454-nucleotide ribosomal RNA is filed under the name Chilocystis scolopendra. RNAcentral's name for it is "partial large subunit ribosomal RNA". It matches the Rfam family "Bacterial large subunit ribosomal RNA", at positions 1799 to 2619 of the family's 2925-position model. Lineage: Eukaryota; Metazoa; Mollusca; Gastropoda; Stylommatophora; Charopidae. The record is from RNAcentral.
CCUGUUUAUCAAAAACAUAGCUUUAUGUAUAUAUAUAAAGUAAUUCCUGCCCGGUGAUAUAUUUAACGGCCGCAGUACCUUAACUGUGCUAAGGUAGCAUAAUAAUUUGGCUCGUAAUUUGGGUCUUGAAUGAAAGGAAAUACAUGAAAAUAACUGUCUUAAAUUAUUUAUUUAUAAUUUACUUAUUAGGUGAAAAUUCCUAUUUUAAUAUAUUAGACGAGAAGACCCUUAGAGUUUAUUUUCUUUUUGUUGGGGCGACAUAGUUACAUUUUAACUUACUACUUAUAGAUAUACACAUCGAGUUAUAGUAAAGGUGAAACUACCUAAGGGAUAACAGCAUAAUUUUAAAAUUAGAUUAUGACCUCGAUGUUGGAUUAGGGUAAAUACUAAUUAAGAGAAAGUAUUUUUAGUUCUGUUCGAACUUUUUCCCCUACGUGAUCUGAGUUCAGACCGG